CGCUGUUCAGCUCGUAGCCAUUGAGGCUGGGGCUCAUCCCGGCUGUGCCGAAGAGGCCACCCAUGUGAGUCUGUCCCACGUGGCUGCCGGGCCCGGAGACUCCAAGGAACUCGGAGACGCCGCCGGCCGCAUGGGGUGCCACUGCCUCAGACAUCUGCUGCAGACCUGGAUGAGCUGAAAGAGCCUCAAGCAGUUGCUGGUACCAAGCAGAAGCUCUUUCUGGGCUCUGCAGCCCCAGACAUGGAAGUGGAGAAGACAGGAAUGGGAUGUACAUGGUGCAUAGGACCUGCAUGAACACAGCACCCCCUGUGCAACCUUGCAGGUUUGUCGCUGAGCCAUAGGAACCUCUUCCUGGCUAUGUCUCUGCACAGAGCUUAUGCAUGGCUCCCACUUUGGAAAACAGGGAUGUGCAGUAUCUUAUUAGUACAUGGAAACAAGGGGCAAGGUUGUGGGGAGUAGACAGGAAAAUGUUGCACUGCAUCAGAGGGGGAAUUAGCUUUGACAUUGUCAGACACCAGUACAGAUGGCUGAAAACUGAGGCAGGCAAGGAAAUGGAGCAGGAGAGGGGCCAGGCAUGGAAUGCCACUGCUUCACAGACAGUAUGGUCCACCUCAUGUAUGCUGCUGGCAUGGGCUCUUACCCAGACACCAAAAUCUCCGGCAGCUACUUCACUAAUGAAGCAUGAGCUUGGGAAAGGGAUGGAAAAAUCAGAGCUGCAGAGCCUGUCUGGGCUCUGCAUCUGCUCCUGCCUGCAGGGCAGCUGGUUAUGCUCCCCAGGAAGCCAAGCCUGGCCAGAGGGGAUGACCUCCAGCCGAAAGCUGUAAUAGGGAGGAUCACACCUUAAACCUGUGCCUUGCCUUUCUGCCAUCUUGCUUUUCUUAGUUCAGCUUUGCAGGCAGCUGAAGUUGGCCUCCAAAAAAUCAUUCCAGGGCAGGAUUAUCCCUUAGAUGACCAUAUCUUCCUUGGGAGAGGGGCUACUGAGCUUCCCUCAAAGCCCAUGGGGCUGCAGCAGGUGUGUGCCCAAACACCCCACAGCAGCCAGAGCCUUUCCCUGUGCAAUGGAAGGUGCCUGAGUAGCUAGUAGCUCUUUGGCUUGUAGGGGAAAAAUAGUGAGGGGCUGGUGUCUAAUUUGUGAUUUCCACCCUCCAGCCCCUGGUUCUUGGUCCUUGCAGUAGGCAUUUGCUUCACCAUCAGCCUCCUGAGCUGCAGCCCCAUGCCUGUACCCACUCUUGGGCUGUGAGCUAAUGGCCCUUGAUGCCACGCUGCUGGUAUUGGAAGACCCCACAGAGCAGAACUGCCCAGGGGUGGGAGACCAAAAACAAGGCUAAACAAGGCUACACAAGCUAUGGAACAACCCAGAGGUGGAGACAGGCACUAGGUUGAUUCACUAAGGCUUUAGUCUCCAGGAGCCUCCCUCAUGGGAAGAGCAGCCCUGUGCCACCUCAGACUGCACCUCCGUGCCACUGCCAUGCCAAGGCCACGCAGCUCCCUAACCAGCAGCUCAGCCCCUGGGAACACAUCUGAGAUAGCAGCACCUGGGCUGCCUCUGGGCCUGCCCAGCCUGCACCUGCUGCUCUGGGCACCAGCCUGCUGUCCCUGCUCUCCAGUGACAGGAGUGUGCUGUGCUGCUGACAGCACGGCAGGCCCGCACCACGAGGUGCUGGCCUGGUGCCAGCCCACGGCCCAGCUCACCGGGUCCUUCCCAGCCGAGGCAGGGAAUGACUGAAAUGCAAGUGCUUCCCCCUUUCACCAUGGGGUAAGUGUGUGAGCAGCCAGGCCACUCAGACAAGCCCUUCAGCAGCUCUGUCCCACGAGCCCUGUCAUCGCCAUCCCAAGUGAGAGGUGGCACUGGCAGCCAGGCUGUUCUUGGCUGCCUGUGGCAACAGGCCACUGGCACGCUUAUCUCAGAGAGAGCUGAAAUUCCUCUUUGCCAAAUAUACUCCUGGCUACCUAGGGAGCUCUUCUGCCCUCGGCUGAAGUGUGAUCCAGUAGUAAAGUGGGGCAAAACCCCAAAAUGAAAGGUUGUAUGUAAGGAAUGUGUAGAUUGCAUCUGCCUCACCUGCCCUGGCUCUGAUGGACAGCCCUUCACACUGCCUGGGACGACACAGUAGCUGCAAACCCUGGCUCAGAAGGGAGCAGGAGGAGCUCACCACCCUCCAGCACCUCAUUCUCAUUCCUGAGCUGAAGGAAUGUCAUGCACUGUGCAGCCAGUAACCCGAUGCUAUGCCUGGCCUCCCAGGAGACCCCAUUAGCACUUGUGGUGUGUUCUUGGGAAAUGAAGAGCUACAUGCAGUGGCACAAGUGAAGAGCUGAUGUUUGUAGCACUGCCUUGUUCUGCCCACCCCGUGGUGCUCAGCAUGCUGGGCCAAUGGGAAUCACACUGCUGCCUGCUGAAACACAGCCAUGUCCAGCCUGAAGAGAAACAGCUGUGAGGAGGAAGAGCACACCAGCCCUGAAAACCAGUUCAGGCAAGCACUCAAGAAAAGUUCUGCUUCUGGUUGAAUUCAGAAGUGAAUGUACAAACUAAAAUGGACUUAAGCAUGGAUGUGGACUUUAUUUGCAACAACUACUCAUAAAGAUUAAAGCAGAGGCUGCCUGGGAGGUGGGAAUAUUCCUGGUAUUAAAGAUAGAAUUAGGUGU
Molecule: long non-coding RNA, 2640 nt
Organism: Haemorhous mexicanus (house finch)
Lineage: Eukaryota; Metazoa; Chordata; Aves; Passeriformes; Fringillidae
Exons: 2
Source: RefSeq, a predicted model, not a curated record